ACGGACGGUAUAGAGACCGAUUGCGUCCAGAGGCGAAGCAGCGGUACUUGCAGAAAAUUGCGUGCAUUGGAAAUGUGGACCCGUAUGAAACACUGCCGUGGAGUAGAAACCCUGAAGAGCAACCGCUAUAGCCUGACAUAUUUUUGUACCUUAUCUGUGGAGUCAGCGCGUACAAGUUGUCAUUCAAACAAAGGUGCUGCACUCUCAAAGACUGAAUGAACCAGCAUUGCAGCCAUGGGUCACUGUGAGCAUCACAGGGAAGGUUGAAGCCGCCCACUGCACCUGUAUGGCCGGAGUUGUGGAGACCUGCACCCGUGUCGCUGCUCUUCUGUUUAAUGUAGAAGCAA
Molecule: long non-coding RNA, 347 nt
Organism: Oreochromis niloticus (Nile tilapia)
Lineage: Eukaryota; Metazoa; Chordata; Actinopteri; Cichliformes; Cichlidae
Exons: 2
Source: RefSeq, a predicted model, not a curated record